RNAcentral lists this ribosomal RNA (405 nucleotides) under uncultured bacterium. RNAcentral's name for it is "partial 16S ribosomal RNA". It matches the Rfam family "Bacterial small subunit ribosomal RNA", at positions 30 to 526 of the family's 1533-position model. The record is from RNAcentral.
AUUGAACGCUAGCGGGAUGCUUUACACAUGCAAGUCGAACGAGUGGCGGACGGGUGAGUAAUAUAUCUGCAUGUGCCCAGUAGCGGGGGUUAACUACUGGACACAGUUGCUACUACCGCAUACUAUUGGCGCGGCCGAUUUCGGAUUAGCUAGGUGGUGGGGUAAAGGCUCACCAAGGCAACGAUCCGUAGCUGGUUUGAGAGGACGACCAGCCACACUGGGACUGAGACACGGCCCAGACUCCUACGGGAGGCAGCAGUGGGGAAUAUUGGACAAUGGGGGAAACCCUGAUCCAGCCAUCCCGCGUGUGUGAGAAGGCCUUCGGGUUGUAAAGUACUUUUGGCAGAGAGGCGGUAUCUGCAGAAUAAGCACCGGCUAACUACGUGCCAGCAGCCGCGGUAAUUC